AGUGAGGAUAGAGGUGCAAAAACCAAUAGUACGCUGUCGUAGGAUGAUGAGAUCUGUUGAUGGCAGCCGAAAGGGGAAUUUGCCGAAGUGGGUGGAAACUCAUCGUUUCGCACCACUGGUUCUGUAUUCAAUAAAUACAGAGCUGUCAUAUAACUUUUAGUUAUAUGGAGGGCUAUCUCACGC
Molecule: non-coding RNA, 183 nt
Filed under: Sediminibacillus halophilus
Lineage: Bacteria; Bacillati; Bacillota; Bacilli; Caryophanales; Bacillaceae
Description: Lysine sequence
Rfam family: Lysine riboswitch aptamer
About the family: Riboswitches are metabolite binding domains within certain messenger RNAs that serve as precision sensors for their corresponding targets.
Source: RNAcentral